UGUGUAGGCGGUUGUUUAAGUUUGGUGUGAAAUCUCCCGGCUUAACUGGGAGGGUGCGCCGAAUACUGAAUGACUAGAGUGCGGGAGAGGAGAGUGGAAUUCCUGGUGUAGCGGUGAAAUGCGUAGAUAUCAGGAGGAACACCGGCGGUGUAGACGGCUCUCCGGACCGUAACUGACGCUGAGACACGAAAGCGUGGGUAGCAAACAGGAUUAGAUACCCUGGUAGUCCACGCCCUAAACGAUGCAUAUUUGGUGUGGGCAGUUCAUUCUGUCCGUGCCGGAGCUAACGCGUUAAAUAUGCCGCCUGGGGAGUACAGUCGCAAGGCUGAA
Molecule: ribosomal RNA, 330 nt
Filed under: uncultured bacterium
Lineage: Bacteria
Description: bacterial SSU rRNA
Rfam family: Bacterial small subunit ribosomal RNA
Source: RNAcentral